GACGAACGCUGGCGGCGUGCCUAAUACAUGCAAGUAGAACGCUGAAGGAGGAGCUUGCUUCUCUGGAUGAGUUGCGAACGGGUGAGUAACGCGUAGGUGACCUGCCUGGUAGCGGGGGAUAACUAUUGGAAACGAUAGCUAAUACCGCAUAAGAGUAGAUGUUGCAUGACAUUUGCUUAAAAGGUGCAAUUGCAUCACUACCAGAUGGACCUGCGCUGUAUUAGCUAGUUGGUGGGGUAACGGCUUACCAAGGCGACGAUACAUAGCCGACCUGAGAGGGUGAUCGGCCACACUGGGACUGAGACACGGCCCAGACUCCUACGGGAGGCAGCAGUAGGGAAUCUUCGGCAAUGGACGGAAGUCUGACCGAGCAACGCCGCGGGAGUGAAGAAGGUUUUCGGAUCGUAAAGCUCUGUUGUAAGAGAAGAACGAGUGUGAGAGUGGAAAGUUCACACUGUGACGGUAGCUUACCAGAAAGGGACGGCUAACUACGUG
Molecule: ribosomal RNA, 495 nt
Filed under: uncultured bacterium
Lineage: Bacteria
Description: partial 16S ribosomal RNA
Rfam family: Bacterial small subunit ribosomal RNA
Source: RNAcentral